GAUGAACGCUGGCGGCGUGCCUAAUACAUGCAAGUCGAGCGAACAGACGAGGAGCUUGCUCCUCUGACGUUAGCGGCGGACGGGGGAGUAACACGUGGAUAACCUACCUAUAAGAAUGGGAUAACUUCGGGAAACCGGAGCUAAUACCGGAUAACAUGUUGAACCGCAUGGUUCAAAAGUGAAAGACGGUCUUGCUGUCACUUAUAGAUGGAUCCGCGCCGCAUUAGCUAGUUGGUAAGGUAACGGCUUACCAAGGCAACGAUGCGUAGCCGACCUGAGAGGGUGAUCGGCCACACUGGAACUGAGACACGGUCCAGACUCCUACGGGAGGCAGCAGUAGGGAAUCUUCCGCAAUGGGCGAAAGCCUGACGGAGCAACGCCGCGUGAGUGAUGAAGGUCUUCGGAUCGUAAAACUCUGUUAUUAGGGAAGAACAUAUGUGUAAGUAACUAUGCACAUCUUGACGGUACCUAAUCAGAAAGCCACGGCUAACUACGUG
This 497-nucleotide ribosomal RNA is filed under the name uncultured bacterium. RNAcentral describes it as "partial 16S ribosomal RNA". It matches the Rfam family "Bacterial small subunit ribosomal RNA", at positions 28 to 507 of the family's 1533-position model. The record is from RNAcentral.